Molecule: ribosomal RNA, 212 nt
Filed under: Graphis scripta
Lineage: Eukaryota; Fungi; Ascomycota; Lecanoromycetes; Ostropales; Graphidaceae
Description: partial small subunit ribosomal RNA
Source: RNAcentral
CGUNUGUGAGAGCCGUGGUGAAGUAUGUUGUUUAAUUUGUAGGCACGCAAAGAACCUUACCACAAUUUGUAUAGCUUGUACAAGCGUUGCACGGCCUUUUUUAGUCAAUGUUNUGAAACUUUGGUUAGGUCCAUUAAAUUCAUGCAAGCCCUUGCUUUAUUUAUUAAAAAGUAGUUCGCUGCUGUANGGGUAGCGAUAUAAGGGACUAAGAC